UGAAAAACAUCUUCGUCUAUUCUAGAAAUAUCCUAAGUAAAUGCAGUUCAUCAUUUUCUGCAACUGAAUUAAUGACUUGCAAUAAAAGGACUGAUGAAUUCAUAUGACAUAGUGGAGAUUAUAACAGAAUAAUAAAAUGCUUGGGCCUGACCUUUCAUGCAUAAUUGUAGAGCUGUCUCAGUAACAUUUUACGAUCCGACAUGCUCCACCUGGUUCUUAACACAAUGUUUGCUGUGGAUCUGUGAGAAGAUGAGUCAAGCAGAAGUUCAAUACAUAUAUUUGCAUAGGGAGGACAAUAGCUUCAGAUUGCUUUCGUGCUUAUUCAUCCUGAAAGGACAAACCAGAGGAGGAGCAGGGAUUGAGUGCUCACUUGCUGGCUGGCUGUUUUAGCAGGUAGAGCACAGAGAAGACAAGACCCAGAAUCUAUAAGAGAGACCCUGCUGCCAGGGAAAUUCCAGUGCGAAAAGCUGAGUGAAUUAGAGACAAAUUAGGCCUGCUCUAGAUUAACCAAUUCUGUUCUCCUGAUGUACUCAUAAGGAACAGACUGGGCAACCACCCACUGCAUGAGAGGAGUGAAAUCCAUGAAAUUCAUGAUCAUCUUCGGUGUGGUAUGGACAGGAAAACACAAGGAACUGAAACUGUAAGCUGUUAAGGGAAGUCUGGAUCUGAAUGAAUACUGUAUGACUUAUUUCUUAUACAAAUAAAAUACAGCUCUUCAGUGAGCACAUUCCAGGCAAUUUUAGAAUGUGUAUGUUUGUUCCCUGUUGUGUAAAUGAACUGAGAAAUGUCACUGUCAAUGGGAAU
Long non-coding RNA from Numida meleagris (helmeted guineafowl), 804 nucleotides. RefSeq lists it as uncharacterized. The transcript is spliced from 3 exons. The record is from RefSeq and is a predicted model, not a curated record. Lineage: Eukaryota; Metazoa; Chordata; Aves; Galliformes; Numididae.